UUAGGAAUCUUCCGCAAUGGACGGAAGUCUGACGGAGCGACGCCGCUUGGAGGAGGAAGCCCUUCGGGGUGUAAACUCCUGAACUGGGGACGAAAGCCCUGUGUAGGGGGAUGACGGUACCCAGGUAAUAGCGCCGGCCAACUCCGUGCCAGCAGCCGCGGUAAUACGGAGGGCGCGAGCGUUACCCGGAUUUACUGGGCGUAAAGGGCGUGUAGGCGGCCUGGGGCGUCCCAUGUGAAAGGCCACGGCUCAACCGUGGAGGAGCGUGGGAUACGCUCAGGCUAGAGGGUGGGAGAGGGUGGUGGAAUUCCCGGAGUAGCGGUGAAAUGCGCAGAUACCGGGAGGAACGCCGAUGGCGAAGGCAGCCACCUGGUCCACUUCUGACGCUGAGGCGCGAAAGCGUGGGAGCAAACC
Molecule: ribosomal RNA, 414 nt
Filed under: uncultured Deinococci bacterium
Lineage: Bacteria; Thermotogati; Deinococcota; Deinococci
Description: bacterial SSU rRNA
Rfam family: Bacterial small subunit ribosomal RNA
Source: RNAcentral